GACGAACGCUGGCGGCGUGCUUAACACAUGCAAGUCGAACGGAAAGGCCCUGCUUUUGUGGGGUGCUCGAGUGGCGAACGGGUGAGUAACACGUGAGUAACCUGCCCUUGACUUUGGGAUAACUUCAGGAAACUGGGGCUAAUACCGGAUAGGAGCUCCUGCUGCAUGGUGGGGGUUGGAAAGUUUCGGCGGUUGGGGAUGGACUCGCGGCUUAUCAGCUUGUUGGUGGGGUAGUGGCUUACCAAGGCUUUGACGGGUAGCCGGCCUGAGAGGGUGACCGGCCACAUUGGGACUGAGAUACGGCCCAGACUCCUACGGGAGGCAGCAGUGGGGAAUAUUGCACAAUGGGCGGAAGCCUGAUGCAGCAACGCCGCGUGCGGGAUGACGGCCUUCGGGUUGUAAACCGCUUUCGCCUGUGACGAAGCGUGAGUGACGGUAAUGGGUAAAGAAGCACCGGCUAACUACGUGCCAGCAGCCGCGGUGAUACGUAGGGUGCGAGCGUUGUCCGGAUUUAUUGGGCGUAAAGGGCUCGUAGGUGGUUGAUCGCGUCGGAAGUGUAAUCUUGGGGCUUAACCCUGAGCGUGCUUUCGAUACGGGUUGACUUGAGGAAGGUAGGGGAGAAUGGACUUCCUGGUGGAGCGGUGGAAUGCGCAGAUAUCAGGAGGAACACCAGUGGCGAAGGCGGUUCUCUGGGCCUUUCCUGACGCUGAGGAGCGAAAGCGUGGGGAGCGAACAGGCUUAGAUACCCUGGUAGUCCACGCUGUAAACGGUGGGUACUAGGUGUGGGGUCCAUUCCACGGGUUCCGUGCCGUAGCUAACGCUUUAAGUACCCCGCCUGGGGAGUACGGCCGCAAGGCUAAAACUCAAAGGAAUUGACGGGGCCCCGCACAAGCGGCGGAGCAUGCGGAUUAAUUCGAUGCAACGCGUAGAACCUUACCUGGGUUUGACAUGGAUCGGGAGUGCUCAGAGAUGGGUGUGCCUCUUUUGGGGUCGGUUCACAGGUGGUGCAUGGCUGUCGUCAGCUCGUGUCGUGAGAUGUUGGGUUAAGUCCCGCAACGAGCGCAACCCUUGUUCACUGUUGCCAGCACGUUAUGGUGGGGACUCAGUGGAGACCGCCGGGGUCAACUCGGAGGAAGGUGGGGAUGACGUCAAGUCAUCAUGCCCCUUAUGUCCAGGGCUUCACGCAUGCUACAAUGGCUGGUACAGAGAGUGGCGAGCCUGUGAGGGUGAGCGAAUCUCGGAAAGCCGGUCUCAGUUCGGAUUGGGGUCUGCAACUCGACCUCAUGAAGUCGGAGUCGCUAGUAAUCGCAGAUCAGCAACGCUGCGGUGAAUACGUUCCCGGG
Molecule: ribosomal RNA, 1343 nt
Filed under: uncultured bacterium
Lineage: Bacteria
Description: 16S ribosomal RNA
Rfam family: Bacterial small subunit ribosomal RNA
Source: RNAcentral